GGAGCGAAAUUUAGUAGCGAAGUAGCUGAUUUCACACUGUCAAGAAAAGUCUCUAUCGAGGUUAAAGGUCCCCGUACCGCAAACCGACACAGGUGGGUGAGGAGAGUAUCCUAAGGCCAGCGAGAGAACUGUUGUUAAGGACCUCGGCAAAAUGACCCCGUAACUUAGGGAUAAGGGGUGCCACCAUCAGGUGGCCGCAGAGAAUAGGCCC
This 211-nucleotide ribosomal RNA is filed under the name Clostridioides difficile. RNAcentral's name for it is "partial 23S ribosomal RNA". It matches the Rfam family "Bacterial large subunit ribosomal RNA", at positions 1570 to 1793 of the family's 2925-position model. Lineage: Bacteria; Bacillati; Bacillota; Clostridia; Peptostreptococcales; Peptostreptococcaceae. The record is from RNAcentral.